RNAcentral lists this ribosomal RNA (462 nucleotides) under Shewanella putrefaciens. Its description in RNAcentral is "bacterial SSU rRNA". It matches the Rfam family "Bacterial small subunit ribosomal RNA", at positions 71 to 524 of the family's 1533-position model. The record is from RNAcentral. Lineage: Bacteria; Pseudomonadati; Pseudomonadota; Gammaproteobacteria; Alteromonadales; Shewanellaceae.
UAUCACAGUGGUUACUCCUGAGGUGGCGAGCGGCGGACGGGUGAGUAAUGCCUAGGGAUCUGCCCAGUCGAGGGGGAUAACAGUUGGAAACGACUGCUAAUACCGCAUACGCCCUACGGGGGAAAGAGGGGGACCUUCGGGCCUCUCGCGAUUGGAUGAACCUAGGUGGGAUUAGCUAGUUGGUGAGGUAAUGGCUCACCAAGGCGACGAUCCCUAGCUGUUCUGAGAGGAUGAUCAGCCACACUGGGACUGAGACACGGCCCAGACUCCUACGGGAGGCAGCAGUGGGGAAUAUUGCACAAUGGGGGAAACCCUGAUGCAGCCAUGCCGCGUGUGUGAAGAAGGCCUUCGGGUUGUAAAGCACUUUCAGUAGGGAGGAAAGGGUGAGUCUUAAUACGGCUCAUCUGUGACGUUACCUACAGAAGAAGGACCGGCUAACUCCGUGCCAGCAGCCGCGGUAAU